GUUGCACAUCCGAGGACAGUCCACGCGCGUUCUUGACGUCGACGGACAGGAAUCCAUUGGCCAAAUUAAGGAACGCCUCUGUGCCCUUUCCGACAUCGGUGACGAUGAGUUAACGUUGUCAGUAUCCGGAGCGCCUCUUGAUGAUGACCUGCUGGUGUCUGAGCUAGCGGCAUUAGAUUUAGACCUCACUGUGCCACUACUCGGUG
This 206-nucleotide unclassified non-coding RNA is filed under the name Melitaea cinxia (Glanville fritillary). Its description in RNAcentral is "misc RNA ENSMCXG00005000052.1". Lineage: Eukaryota; Metazoa; Arthropoda; Insecta; Lepidoptera; Nymphalidae. The record is from RNAcentral.